GAUUUGAACGCGGCGUUCGACAUUACGCUGAAAUAACAGUAACCGUGGCGUGUGCGUAUGUACGGCUGCUUUAGUUACGCUUUCAGUAUUGGACUCGGUGCAUUGAUGCUUUUGCCUCAAAUUUUUUUGUUCGGUUAUUUAAGCGUGUUGCAUUGUUAUUGCCAGCGUUGGAGCAUCGUGUAACCGAGUGAGUGAGCCACUCGUAUACGCUUACUUUGCUAACCGUGUGGCAAGGAUCUCAACUCGUGCGUGUUGGCCAUCAACGACAUCAUCAUUUGCAUCCUUGGCUUGGCGGCAGAACAAUUCAGUCAUCAUUCAGCAGUGGCGGCGAAUCGACGCGCCUUCUCUUAGCCAUGACUUAUCGGCCAACGCUCGCCAACGUAAGGUUCGAAGGCUAAUAGACGCGAGUGCAGUGCCUAAAGCGUAAAAAGAUAAUCGGGUAACAAUACAAAGAUUUUUUGCAUAACAAAUGCGGAUGCAGUGAAUACGAAAUCCUUGAGUCGCUAGGCCGCUGCCGGUCGUUUUUGUUCGCGUGUGAGUGUGUUGUGUUGUUUUUGUGCGCUAUUAACAAAUCCGUUUGAAACUGGAAUUUCAUGUUUCAAGGAUAGUUUCAGAAUGAUGUCAUGCGGAUAUUCUGACAGUGAGAAAAAUAUUUAUGACGACGUUGAAUGAGUAAAAUUGAGCAAUGGUAUGACGACAAUAAGUGGCAAAGAAGUGAAAGAUCAAAAAGAAAAAAAAGAAAAAGCAAUAUGAACAAAAUAAAUAUUUUGGAAAAAAUUAAGGGAAUGAGAAACUUGAAAAUGCAACAACAAAGAAUGAUGUAAAAUAGAAAAAAAAUAUAUAAUAAAAAAGACAAACAAAUUUUAAUAGAAUAAGGUGAAAAAAUUAAGAUAAAAAUACAGGUAAAAAAAUAUUGUAAUAAAAAAAUAAUAAUAAAAAUAAUAAAACAACAAAUUGUACAAUAAUCAAAUAAAGAAAACAAAGUAAAAUUAAACUAAGUGAAAUAAAACAAAUCAAAAUAAAAUGAAAUGAAAUAAAACAACAUAAGAAAUGUAAAUGAAACAAAAUAAAACAAAAUAAAAUUAAAUAAACUAAAAUAAAAUACAAUAAUUUGACACAUUAAAAAAAUUAAAAAAUUAUAACAAAUACAAAUAAACCGAAUGAAAAAAGUUAGUAAAUAAAAUCGAAUAAAAAACAAAUGAGUCAAAGUGGAAUAAAAUAAAAUAACAUAAAAUCAAUUAAAUAAAA
Molecule: long non-coding RNA, 1248 nt
Organism: Anastrepha ludens (Mexican fruit fly)
Lineage: Eukaryota; Metazoa; Arthropoda; Insecta; Diptera; Tephritidae
Exons: 2
Source: RefSeq, a predicted model, not a curated record